GGUAUCAUAGAGGGUGAGAAUCCCGUGCAUGAUCAGACCAAGAUACUUAAUAUUCGCUUUCUAAGAGUCGAGUUGUUUGGGAAUGCAGCUCAAAAUGGGUGGUAGACUUCACCUAAGGCUAAAUAUCAGCGAGAGACCGAUAGCGAACAAGUACUGUGAAGGAAAGAUGAAAAGAACUUUGAAAAGAGAGUUAAAUAGUACGUGAAAUUGUUGAAAGGGAAACGAUUGAAGUCAGUCAUGCUAGUGAAAAUUCAGUUUGACGGGUUUGGGUUUGGAAGUAGAGGCAGGGUCAAACCGUUCUCUUUUGAACUCGGGAUUUGUCGGAUGCACUUUUCUUUGGCAGGUUAGCGUCGAUUU
Molecule: ribosomal RNA, 357 nt
Filed under: Gigaspora sp. J24Gig
Lineage: Eukaryota; Fungi; Glomeromycota; Glomeromycetes; Diversisporales; Gigasporaceae
Description: eukaryotic LSU rRNA
Rfam family: Eukaryotic large subunit ribosomal RNA
Source: RNAcentral